GGCUUAGAGUUUGAUCAUGGCUCAGGAUGAACGCUGGCGGCGUGCUUAACACAUGCAAGUCGAGCGAAGCACUUACUUUUGAUUUCUUCGGAAUGACGAGGUCUGUGACUUAGCGGCGGACGGGUGAGUAACGCGUGGGCAACCUGCCUCACACAGGGGGAUAACAGUUAGAAAUGACUGCUAAUACCGCAUAAGACCCCGGCACCGCAUGGUGCAGGGGUAAAAACUCCGGUGGUGUGAGAUGGGCCCGCGUCUGAUUAGGUAGUUGGUGCGGUAACGGCGCACCAAGCCGACGAUCAGUAGCCGACCUGAGAGGGCGACCGGCCACAUUGGGACUGAGACACGGCCCAAACUCCUACGGGAGGCAGCAGUGGGGAAUAUUGCACAAUGGGGGAAACCCUGAUGCAGCGACGCCGCGUGAAGGAUGAAGUAUUUCGGUAUGUAAACUUCUAUCAGCAGGGAAGAAAAUGACGGUACCUGACUAAGAAGCCCCGGCUAACUACGUGCCAGCAGCCGCGGUAAUACGUAGGGGGCAAGCGUUAUCCGGAUUUACUGGGUGUAAAGGGAGCGUAGACGGCUGUGCAAGUCUGGAGUGAAAACCCGGGGCUCAACCCCGGGAUUGCUUUGGAAACUGUGUAGCUGGAGUACCGGAGAGGCAAGUG
Molecule: ribosomal RNA, 662 nt
Filed under: uncultured bacterium
Lineage: Bacteria
Also listed under: 1 other name
Description: bacterial SSU rRNA
Rfam family: Bacterial small subunit ribosomal RNA
Source: RNAcentral